This 246-nucleotide long non-coding RNA is filed under the name Lathyrus oleraceus (garden pea). Its description in RNAcentral is "Pisum sativum (pea) long non-coding RNA (PSAT_LNC041827)". Lineage: Eukaryota; Viridiplantae; Streptophyta; Magnoliopsida; Fabales; Fabaceae. The record is from RNAcentral.
UCCGAAUGGUCCUAAUGCUAAUGUGAGCGUAAUUUAUUUGAGAUCCGGAAAAGUUACAGAACCAGCCCCUGAAAAAAAUAAAAAAAUCAUUGAGGUAACUUCUGAACUUUCUCCUUCUGAACCUCACUCAGCUGAACUUUCUUCUCCUUCUUCUGUUGUGGUCGAAACUGAAAAAAUAAAAGAAAAGGAGUAUGUGCCAUCAGUCUCCAUUCCACAUAGAGUUCUGAAAAAUAAAAGAAUUGAGGA